AGAAUCAACGCUGGCGGCGUGCCUAACACAUGCAAGUCGAACGGGAAAGUGGAGCAAUCCAUGAGUAUAGUGGCGACCGGGUGAGUAACACGUGACUACCUACCCUUGAGUGGGGGAUAACCUCGGGAAACCGAGGCUAAUACCGCAUAAUAUCGCAAGAUCAAAGGAGUAAUCCGCUUUGGAGGGGGUCGCGGCUGAUUAGCUAGUUGGUAAGGUAAUGGCUUACCAAGGCGAAGAUCGGUAUCCGGCCUGAGAGGGCGCACGGACACACUGGAACUGAAACACGGUCCAGACUCCUACGGGAGGCAGCAGUGGGAAUUUUGCGCAAUGGGGGAAACCCUGACGCAGCAACGCCGCGUGGAGGAUGAAGCCCCUUGGGGCGUAAACUCCUUUCGACCGGGACGAUAAUGACGGUACCGGUGGAAGAAGCACCGGCUAACUCUGUGCCAGCAGCCGC
RNAcentral lists this ribosomal RNA (457 nucleotides) under uncultured bacterium. Its description in RNAcentral is "SSU rRNA". It matches the Rfam family "Bacterial small subunit ribosomal RNA", at positions 26 to 518 of the family's 1533-position model. The record is from RNAcentral.